CGAACGGGUGAGUAACGCGUGAGGAACCUGCCUCAAAGAGGGGGACAACAGUUGGAAACGACUGCUAAUACCGCAUAAGCCCACGGGUCGACAUCGAUCUGAGGGAAAAGGAGUGAUCCGCUUUGAGAUGGCCUCGCGUCCGAUUAGCUAGUUGGUGAGGUAACGGCCCACCAAGGCGACGAUCGGUAGCCGGACUGAGAGGUUGAACGGCCACAUUGGGACUGAGACACGGCCCAG
RNAcentral lists this ribosomal RNA (237 nucleotides) under uncultured bacterium. RNAcentral describes it as "partial 16S ribosomal RNA". It matches the Rfam family "Bacterial small subunit ribosomal RNA", at positions 99 to 334 of the family's 1533-position model. The record is from RNAcentral.